AUUUUGUUAGAAACAAAGUUUUUAAUGUUUUUUUCCCUAUAAAUAAUUCCUCAUAUACUUUAUAUAAGUUUAAUACGUUAUUUUAUAUGAGUUUAAUACGUUAUUUACUUUGAAUAUUCUAUAACUUUCGCAAUUAUCAUCACAGUUACAGUGAAGAUGAAUUCCCUUUUCUUGAGUCCCCAACAUGUACUUCAAGGAGGCUAUUUCAAUUCUACUCUGCGUAAACUACAAGAGCCAAACACCAGCAUUGAGCCUCACAACAUAAUGUACCCCAUAUUUUUACUGGAAGAUGACGACGCAGUUCAGCCAGUUUCCAGCAUGCCCAAUGUGUUCAGAUAUGGACUCAACAAAUUAAUACCUGCACUUGGCGAGUUAGUUAACAAAGGAUUGCAGUCUGUACUUAUUUUUGGAAUUGUGGAGAAGUUACCAAAGGAUUCUCGAGGUUCCAGUGCGGAUUGUAAAGAUAACCCAGUAGUAAAAGCUUUACCCAAGCUGAGGCAAGCCUUUCCACAGCUGACACUAGCUUCCGAUGUGUGCCUGUGUCCCUACACUUCCCAUGGACACUGUGGUGUGCUGACAGAGAAUGGAGUUAUUGACCAUGAGCCAUCUGUGAAGAGGAUAGCAGAUGUUGCUUUAGCUUAUGCCAAAGCAGGAGCUCAUAUUGUAGCACCUUCUGACAUGAUGGACAACAGAAUAAAAGCAAUAAAGGAUGCCUUAGUGGCAAACAAAUUGCAAAAUCAGGUAUCAGUGUUAUCAUACUCAUGUAAGUUUGCAUCAGCUAUGUAUGGGCCAUUCCGAGACACCAUGAAGAGUUCUCCGAUGGCUGGAGACAGGAAAUGCUACCAAUUGCCGCCAGGCAGCGCCGGGCUAGCUGCCAGAGCUGCUGAGCGAGAUGUCGCAGAAGGUGCAGAUUUUCUAAUGGUGAAGCCUGGACUACCAUACUUGGACAUUGUGAGGCAAACCAAAGACCGCUAUCCCAACCACCCACUAUUCAUAUAUCAGGUAUCUGGCGAGUACGCGAUGAUCGCCCAGCAGAAGGACAGCAAUGAGAUGCAGACCAUCCUCUUGGAGACACUCACAUGUAUGCGCAGAGCCGGUGCGGAUUGUAUCAUCACAUACUUCGCUCCAUUAGUUUUAAGCAUUAUCUCUAAACAAUAGAUCUGGAUGGUUUACUGGAUUUACUUGAAAAAGGGGCUGAGAUAAAUGACGAAUGCGGACUCCACUGCCGCCGCUCCUCGCGCUGCCGCCUGCCGACAAUAUUGCCCUGAAUACUUCUGCAGCAGUAACGACGCGAGUGAGAGCGUGUACACUCAGCCACUGACAUACUUGCUGGCUACUGCGUUGUGCAGCAGCAGCGGCAGCCGGCAGCGCCGGCAUGACGAGUGGCAGCGCGAGUGACUAUUUACAUUCUCGCGUUGUAGUUGUCCACUACAACCAGGGCUGAAUAUAAACGACGCAUAAUAAAUUAUAAAUGAAGGGUUUUGACUUUUGGGUAGUUCGUAGGUUCCUAUAAGUAAUAAUUGUUUAGACUUUAGGCGAUAUUUAUGAAAUGUUUAGAAUUUGGACCACUUUUUAAAGGGUUUUCCGAAAACGAUUAUUUAAUAUUUUUAUAUUUGGGGGAUUUUUAUUGUUUUCAUUUAAUGACUUUUGGAGUGUAAUGAAAAUGUAUAUUGGGAUUUGGGACUAUCUGGUGUUGCAGAAUUUAUUUACAUUUAGGUUAGUAGGU
Aricia agestis (brown argus) is the source of this 1726-nucleotide RNA transcript. It is a transcript of the gene named delta-aminolevulinic acid dehydratase, with no coding region annotated. NCBI's taxonomy places the organism in Eukaryota, Metazoa, Arthropoda, Insecta, Lepidoptera, Lycaenidae. The record is from RefSeq and is a predicted model, not a curated record. The transcript has 9 exons.